GGAAAAUCACAUUUAAUUUAUUGAAUAUCGGUUCGAGUAUUACACUCCUCUAUCAAAAUAAUACUAAUAUAAUUAAUUAGUAAAAAUAGUAUUUAUACAAAUCUUUGAAUCAAAUAAUGUAUUUAUUGAUUAUACAAAACAACCUAGAUAAGGAGAUUCUAUAUACAUAUAAAACCCCUUUUUCCCGUGUCACAAUCAGAGCGGAGCUUCACCGACGACUCGACAUCAAAUACCACAAAAUCCUGUAAAAUCUGGACCCCCAACGGUCCAGCACAUAACACAUAAAAGAGAGUUAGAUAACAUACUCAAAAUAUAAGUGUAAGUAAAUGGUACUUAAACACUUCUUCAA
RNAcentral lists this long non-coding RNA (349 nucleotides) under Trifolium pratense (red clover). RNAcentral describes it as "long non-coding RNA (TPRA_LNC013670)". Lineage: Eukaryota; Viridiplantae; Streptophyta; Magnoliopsida; Fabales; Fabaceae. The record is from RNAcentral.